Long non-coding RNA from Enhydra lutris kenyoni (northern sea otter), 574 nucleotides. RefSeq lists it as uncharacterized. The record is from RefSeq and is a predicted model, not a curated record. Lineage: Eukaryota; Metazoa; Chordata; Mammalia; Carnivora; Mustelidae. The transcript has 2 exons.
CGGCAGCGCUUUUCCUUACGAACUCUAUUUCCCAGAGGUCAUCGCGGGACGACGGCCUAUGGUGCCCGAGAUGGGCCAAUAGCCCUAAGGCUGGAGAAAGCCGUCCUGCUGGGAGCCUCCAGAAGGCUGCCGCCGCGUCUUUUCCGCCUCUCUCACCGCCUGUCCCGUCGAGCGCGCUUUUCGGGAAAAGAUUAUUAUUUUACUCUGAUGCUUUCGCAAAAGUGUUUCAUCUUCAGAGAGAUUCAUAGAAUGGACUUUGCUGGUAAUUUUAAGAUCAUAAAACUGAACCGGGUAAGAAUCACCAGAACUAAUGGUCAAACUGACCUGCUCAAACUGACUUGCUAAAUCCUGGACUAGAAAGCCAAUUAAAUCAGGAACUCAAUGCAAAGAAAAUGGAGCUCAGGACAGAAAGGGGAUCUACCUAUGGCCCUUGGAAAUCACAAGAAAGACUGCAAACUCAAAAGGUUUAUGGGAUACCGCACCUGUUUCUGGUUAUCUCUGAAGCCAUCGGAAGCCUCCUUCAGUCCAACCACUGCCACCACAUCUGUUAAACAAUAAAAAUGCAACCAAGUAA